RNAcentral lists this long non-coding RNA (201 nucleotides) under Linum usitatissimum (flax). RNAcentral describes it as "long non-coding RNA (LUSI_LNC008339)". Lineage: Eukaryota; Viridiplantae; Streptophyta; Magnoliopsida; Malpighiales; Linaceae. The record is from RNAcentral.
GGGAAGUGGGUGGGGGAUCUCUCUUUUCAUUUACAUUUUCUUUGGUUUUUUUUUGGUUGUGUCUGCUUUAUUAUAUAAUUUAUUUUCCUUUUCCAUUGAUAAUUCCUUUUUUUUAGUGAUGUGGGACAUAAGAGGCAGAGGGAAAAGGAUUAGGUUUUAGCUUAAUCACGAAGAAUCAGAAGAAAAUACACAUGAUAAUCA